AUGGUAUUGUUCCCGGUUCCCGGUCCCGCGCGUUUCUAUGUCUUGUCCAGGAAUUUCUGUGAAUGUGCGUGGUGCGUCUUGUCUUGUGCUUUCGACUGGUUGACUAAUGUACUUUCGUAUCAUGCUUCGUAUCUAAAAGUCAAAAGAGUGUUCCAUAAGUUCUUGAUCUGCGUCGCAGUAGUGCCUCCCUCCAACUCCAACAAUGAGCGGACAGAAGCGUGGGAGGUCCUCGGAAAAUAUCACCAGGCAGGGGGAAUGGAAAAGGAAAAAAAGAGCGGCAGAACAAAAGACCAGGUUUUACGACGAAUGUAACGCAUACAGCUAGAAGCAUCAUGGCAAAAAUACUGCAUUCAUCAUUAACAGGACGUUUCACAUGGACGGGUGUAAAUCGACAGAACAAGAAAGAUGAGCGUGAAAAGAACGUUACAAAAAGAAAGCAUGCCUUCCGAAUUUUGCAUUUGAAGGAUAUUCUCCUCGGUGAGUUUUUCCAUAAUUACUUUCUAUGGUAUUUUUAAGUAUUCACAGGAGGAGAAAGAUAAAUCCGAAGAAACUAACGAAGUUUUAAGAAGAAAGUGGUAUUAUUAUUAUUUUUUUUUAUCUUGCAGGAUUUCUCCUGGUAUUGAGAACCAAAGAUGAGUCAAGGACUAGAGUCUUGGGUCCUUUUCAUGCCCUAAUCAUUAAAUUUUUAAAGAACAGAAAAUUUAAUAAAUAUAGAAAUAGAAAAUUGUUAAGAAUAGAAAACUAAAAAAAAAACUGAAAAGAGAGAUAAGAGAGAAGAAAAAGAGAGGACUAUUCCAUUAUUAUUAUGUUCUCGUCUCUCAAUUCACAGCUCGAAGCUGGGAGAUAUUUAGUCCUCUCCCAGCACUUCAAUGCAAAGGAGAGUCCUACUGGAUUUUUUUUUUUUUUUUUUUAAAAAAUGAUGAAAAUUGCUUCCGAUUAAUUAAAAAAAGAGAGGAAAAUUUAAAAUUAGGAUUAAAACUUUUAAUUGGAUUAUUAUUAUUAUUAUUAUUAUUUAUUAUUAUACAUGGCUGCAGAGUCAUUGUCACAAGUCUGUGAACGUCAAUUAAGUAUUGCUUGUCUAAAUCUUCAAUCUUCUACAGCAAAUUCUGUUCUAUUUGUGCUUUCAGAUGCUGCAACGCUCAUUCACCAGUGUCAUGUGUCGGAGGAUGACAUAAAGCGUUCAGUGAACCAGUGGUUUUCCCAGGAAGCACUGAAGUUCGAAAAGAAAACGUAAGUCACGCUAAAUCUUUACUGCCUCAAGCAAAAAUUUGCUGACAAAUGUUUUUCCGAGCCAGCAACAUUGAAUCUGUCUUAGGGUGCUGUUUGAUUUCAUAAUUUAUAUGAACUGCUUGUUCAGGACAGAGUUAGUUUUAAGAUUUCUUGUACCGCGCGUGAUACUAAUUUGGACACUCAAUGGGAAAAGUCUGGGAGAAGAACCUCAUCUGGAAAGGUGCUUGGAGGGAGUCUCAUUUUUUAUGGGGCCCAUUAUUUUUUGGGUACAGUUUGUCUAGUUUCUCUCAUGCAUGAGGCUACCUUUUCUGUUUUUUUCAGAAACUGAUUUUUUCUUCAAAUGUUCAAUUCCCCGAGUGGUUGAGGUCCCCCCCCCCCCUCCAUCUCACCUGUCUUUUUUUUGUGCCAGCAUGUGAUCACAGUCAUCUCUUUUGAUUCCCAGGUCCAAGCCCAAGAAUGUGCCAAUUGUGCCCCUCCAGGAAAGCACAUCAAAUAGUAGCUCUGCAGAAAGCUCAUCGAGCAGUUCAUCAAACAGCUCAAGCGAACCUGAUGAUCGCUGAUUUCAUAUUAUCGGUUUUUACUUUUCACAUCUGUUUUCUCUGCCAUGUUGGCUUUUCACUUCCUAUUUCCGGACUCUUCCCACUUCCGAUUUUCACCUUCAUGUCCUAGGUUUUAUUACCCAUUUCUGGUUUUGACCUUUAAAUUCCAAUUUUUACUUCCCACUUCUAGUUUUUAGUUCCUAUUUCUGAUUUAAGUCCUUAACGUGUACUGUAUAGUGGUCCAAAAACACGAUUAUUCGUAUUUCUACCGUAUUUUGUGGCUACUAAAAUUAUUUCGCAAAAAUCGUUUAGGGACUCAAAAAGUACCCUAUCCUUGAUAAUUUAAGUUUAAUGUUUGUAUUGUAAAGUGGAAGGAGGUUGGGAAGUUUUUUCACUCUCCUAAAAAAUCGUAUUUUUGGAAAUAAGUGGUUUUGAUCUGCCACCUGCGAUACGUUUAUAUAUAGGCUUAUCAAAAAACGAAUAGUCAGUGUUUUUGCUCAAAAUACAUGCGAUUCAUCAGGAUUGUUCUCUUGAAGUGUCGCACUUAAGUGUCAAAAUUAGCUUUAAUUCGUUAGUCAGUGUACCUAGUAACUUUUACAGUUUUCGUCAAAAAUUUCUUGUCUAAUCUCAAGUUUCACUUAUUGUUUAUAAUGUUCGUUCUUUUCACUAUUAUUAAAUUCUAAUUUUGUGUUAAAAUAACAUUUAGUAUCCUUUUUUUAUCCUGCAAAAUACUGUGGAUCCAGAACUAUUUUACCACACUUGCUAAUAUCAUUUAUUAAGAGUACAUAAAGCUUUCAUGACUCAAGAGGUAGGUCUUUUGCAAAAUUUUCUGAACAAAAUGUAUAAUACUUGAUAAGUUAUUGGGAAACAUCACAUGCUGUUAGGCCAAUUUCUGUUGCAGUUGACCUAUAUGUUUGUAUUUCUAGGGAGUGGUUAUAAAUUUAGUUGAAGUAAGAAGUUCACUUUUCAUGAUCUGACAGUAUAGAGUAAGUUGGUCGUUGGACAGGUAGAGUAAUUUUCAGAAAUCAUAAAAUUAGGUUCUUCAGAGGAUUAUUGAUUAAAUUUCCAUUAGGUACCUAUUGUGGAGCAUCGCACCGAAGGGCCUCCCAUUCUCAUAUCAAUUUAUGAAGAUGGGAGACCCUCAGGUGCACCUCUCCGCAAGGGGCCUCCUUUUUUUUACAUAAAAAACCAAGCUUACUUUUACCUUUUUUUACUUUAAAAAAAGGUUUUUUUACCAAGAAAAAGUAGUAAUUUUUAAAUUUUUUUUUACGUAAAAGUUCAUGAAUUUACAUUUUUUUAAAUGUAAAAUUUACACCACAGUUGACGCCCUCUUGCCAAUUUUACAUAAAAAAGACAUACAUUUAUAUAAAUUUAAGUUUUUUUUACGUAAAAAAGACUUAGAUUUAUAUAAAUUUAAGUCUUUUUUAUGUAAAAUUGGCAAGAAGGCGUCAACUGUGGUGUAAAUUUUACAUUAAAAAAAAAUGUAAAUUUAUGAACUAUUACGUAAAAAAAAAUUAAAAAUUAUUUUUUUUUUAUGUAAAAAAAAAAAAAAUUGCUACUAGGGUAGUUUAAUUAUUAUUUGAAAUACGUCCAUUUUAUCACCACUUUAGCUAUUAAUAACGUCAUCACCCUAAUUUUUAAGAUGGAAAUAUUUAGCAUAAAAAGCACCACAGUCUUGCAGAGUACUAUGUUCUACAAGAACAGACUCAUGCGUUCUACUCUUUUUUGUACGUCAUUGCAAUUUCUCUCGGGAAAAGUUAAGUAAAAGUAUUAAGCAUUAAGACAGCAGACGAAAGUUCUUUUAAAAAUAAUGGAUUUUAUUUGCUUAAAGAAUAGUUGCAAAAUUGCAAGUUGUAUUUCCUUAAGUUAGCAUAUCAUUCCGAUAAAUAAAAUCUAAAGAAGCACAAUCAUAGUCAUCAUAAGUUCUCCGCUUGCUGCUAUUACCGAACUCUCCAUCACUUUCCUGAAGUCUUUUUUAAAAACAAUACAUCGCUGUUUAAUUUUUUAGAGUGAGGAGUACGGGCUUUACCUCUUUUUGUAAGAUGCAGUAAUAUUAUGUUUACUAACCAGUAUUUUGUUUUGUGUUCAAAUUUUAAUGUUUUCCCCCCAUUAUCUCUGCAGGUAUAACUAUUUUUUGAGCAAUUCAACUGUGGAGGCAAUCUUCAAAUAACUUAAGCGCCAACUUUUGUGUUCUUUAUUCACCAAACCAAUUAUUUUUCUCUGAAUACAAAACUUUUAUUUUGUUCUCAAUUUAAUGCUUUUUCAUUUCAAGUCAUGCUGUUUUCCUUAACUAUCUUCUGCUUGCCUCAACUGAAAUAAAAAAUUUGCUGUCAUUUUAUUUUUUAUCUGGAAACCACUGCUUCAAUUAUUGUUUUUAAAAACUCAUUAAAUUUGUUGUUCAGUGUAGAUAAAUCGUAUAAUUUCAAGGAAAGUAGUGUGUGAUAGGUUUGCAUACAACCAUUGAACACAUAACAUGUCUAUUUCAUUUCAAAAUGUAUGUGAUUUUUCGACGCGAGAAGAAUUUUUGGAAUUUUUCUGAACCUAUUGAUGGUUUCUGUUAAAACAUGAAAUUGUCACCAUCUGGCCAAUGUAUCACAAGCGCCGUGCGACGUUUUAACAUUUUUGCCACCAUUUUAUUUUUUUACAGAGAAAUUGUUGGUUAAAUCUGUUCGAAAAUUUUGCUGAAAUUUAUCGCCAGCACGAAGAAAAUUCUGUGAAAUUUUCGGAUAGCUUCGUUGAACAAUUUCACUGUAAAAAAAUCAAAUUGCGGCGGAAAUUUUGAAACGUCACAUGGCGCUUAUGAUACUUUGACCGGAAGAUGACGAAAUGUCCGCAGAAAAAUUUU
RNAcentral lists this long non-coding RNA (4614 nucleotides) under Bemisia tabaci. RNAcentral describes it as "lncRNA ENSSSA1UGG011371". The record is from RNAcentral. Lineage: Eukaryota; Metazoa; Arthropoda; Insecta; Hemiptera; Aleyrodidae.